Molecule: ribosomal RNA, 648 nt
Filed under: arctic cyanobacterium 65RS1
Lineage: Bacteria; Bacillati; Cyanobacteriota
Description: bacterial SSU rRNA
Rfam family: Bacterial small subunit ribosomal RNA
Source: RNAcentral
CGCAAGCCUGACGGAGCAACGCCGCGUGAGGGACGAAGGCCUCUGGGCUGUAAACCUCUUUUCUCAAGGAAGAAGACAUGACGGUACUUGAGGAAUAAGCCACGGCUAAUUCCGUGCCAGCAGCCGCGGUAAUACGGGAGUGGCAAGCGUUAUCCGGAAUUAUUGGGCGUAAAGCGUCCGCAGGCGGCCUUGAAAGUCUGUUGUUAAAGCGUGGAGCUCAACUCCAUUUCAGCAAUGGAAACUACAAGGCUAGAGUGUGGUAGGGGCAGAGGGAAUUCCCGGUGUAGCGGUGAAAUGCGUAGAUAUCGGGAAGAACACCAGUGGCGAAGGCGCUCUGCUGGGCCAUAACUGACGCUCAUGGACGAAAGCCAGGGGAGCGAAAGGGAUUAGAUACCCCUGUAGUCCUGGCCGUAAACGAUGAACACUAGGUGUCGGGAGAAUUAACCCUUUCGGUGUCGUAGCCAACGCGUUAAGUGUUCCGCCUGGGGAGUACGCACGCAAGUGUGAAACUCAAAGGAAUUGACGGGGGCCCGCACAAGCGGUGGAGUAUGUGGUUUAAUUCGAUGCAACGCGAAGAACCUUACCAGGGUUUGACAUCCUGCGAAUCCUUUGGAAACUUAGGAGUGCCUUCGGGAGCGCAGUGACAGG